GCGGCGAACGGGUGAGUAACACGUGAGCAACCUGCCCUCGACUCUGGGAUAAGCCUGGGAAACCGGGUCUAAUACCGGAUAUGACCCAUCAUCGCAUGGUGUGUGGGUGGAAAGUUCUCUCCGUUUUCGGGGGGUUCGGUCGGGGAUGGGCUCGCGGCCUAUCAGCUUGUUGGUGGGGUGACGGCCUACCAAGGCGACGACGGGUAGCCGGCCUGAGAGGGCGACCGGCCACACUGGGACUGAGACACGGCCCAGACUCCUACGGGAGGCAGCAGUGGGGAAUAUUGCGCAAUGGGCGGAAGCCUGACGCAGCGACGCCGCGUGGGGGAUGACGGCCUUCGGGUUGUAAACCUCUUUCAGCGGGGACGAAGCCUUUCGGGGUGACGGUACCUGCAGAAGAAGCGCCGGCUAACUACGUGCCAGCAGCCGCGGUAAUAC
RNAcentral lists this ribosomal RNA (438 nucleotides) under Actinomadura sp. G08C011. RNAcentral's name for it is "bacterial SSU rRNA". It matches the Rfam family "Bacterial small subunit ribosomal RNA", at positions 95 to 526 of the family's 1533-position model. Lineage: Bacteria; Bacillati; Actinomycetota; Actinomycetes; Streptosporangiales; Thermomonosporaceae. The record is from RNAcentral.